This 894-nucleotide ribosomal RNA is filed under the name uncultured Thermoplasmatales archaeon. RNAcentral describes it as "bacterial SSU rRNA". It matches the Rfam family "Archaeal small subunit ribosomal RNA", at positions 375 to 1272 of the family's 1478-position model. The record is from RNAcentral. Lineage: Archaea; Methanobacteriati; Thermoplasmatota; Thermoplasmata; Thermoplasmatales.
GGGAUCCCAAGUGCUUGCUCUUAGGAGUAAGCUGUUUUCCUGUUUAAAUCGCAGGAAGAGGAAGGGCUGGGUAAGACGGGUGCCAGCCGCCGCGGUAAUACCUGCAGCUCAAGUGAUGACCGCUAUUAUUGGGCCUAAAACGUCCGUAGCCGGCUGAGUAAAUGCCUGGGUAAAUCGUGUCGCUUAACGAUACGAAUUCCGGGUAGACUGCUUAGCUUGAGACCGGGAGAAGCUAGAGGUACUCCUGGGGUAGAGGUGAAAUUCUGUAAUCCUGGGGGGACCACCAGUGGCGAAAGCGUCUAGCUAGAACGGGUCUGACGGUGAGGGACGAAACCCUGGGGCGCGAACCGGAUUAGAUACCCGGGUAGUCCAGGGCGCAAACGCUGCUUGCUUGAUGUUAGUUGGGCUCCGAGCUCGACUAGUGUCGGAGAGAAGUUGUUAAGCAAGCUGCCUGGGAAGUACGAUCGCAAGAUUGAAACUUAAAGGAAUUGGCGGGGGAGCACAGCAACGGGAGGAGCGUGCGGUUUAAUUGGAUUCAACGCCGGAAAACUCACCGGAGGCGACGGUUACAUGAAGGCCAGGCUGAUGACCUUGCCUGAUUUUCCGAGAGGUGGUGCAUGGCCGCCGUCAGUUCGUACCGUAAGGCGUUCUGUUAGGUCAGAUAACGAACGAGACCCUCAUCCUUAAUUGCUACUAAUGACUUCGGUUGUUAGGCACAUUAAGGAGACCGCUGACGAUAAGUCAGAGGAAGGCGAGGGCAACGGUAGGUCAGUAUGCCCUGAAUCCUCCGGGCUACACGCGCGCUACAAAGGCCAGGACAAUGGGUUUCGACACCGAAAGGUGGAGGUAAUCCCGAAACCUGGUCAUAGUUCGGAUUGAGGGCUGAAACUCGCC